Molecule: transfer RNA, 69 nt
Filed under: Kalasha nativa
Lineage: Eukaryota; Metazoa; Arthropoda; Insecta; Hemiptera; Cicadellidae
Description: tRNA-Gln
Source: RNAcentral
UGUAAAUAAAUGUAUGAUGCAUCCUGUACUUUGAUUACGGUAGAUUUAGUUUAAUUCUAAGAUUUACAA